This 253-nucleotide ribosomal RNA is filed under the name uncultured bacterium. RNAcentral describes it as "partial 16S ribosomal RNA". It matches the Rfam family "Bacterial small subunit ribosomal RNA", at positions 524 to 776 of the family's 1533-position model. The record is from RNAcentral.
UACGUAGGGGGCAAGCGUUGUCCGGAAUCAUUGGGCGUAAAGAGCGUGUAGGCGGCCCGGUAAGUCCGUUGUGAAAGUCCAGGGCUCAACCCUGGAAAGCCGAUGGAUACUGCCGGGCUAGAGUUCGGAAGAGGCGAGUGGAAUUCCUGGUGUAGCGGUGGAAUGCGCAGAUAUCAGGAGGAACACCGGUGGCGAAGGCGGGUCUCUGGGCCGAUACUGACGCUGAGGAGCGAAAGCGUGGGGAGCGAACAGG